GACGAACGCUGGCGGCGUGCUUAACACAUGCAAGUCGAGCGGUAAGGCCCUUUCGGGGGUACACGAGCGGCGAACGGGUGAGUAACACGUGGGUGACCUGCCCUCAGCUCUGGGAUAAGCCCGGGAAACUGGGUCUAAUACCGGAUAUGACUCCACGGUGCAUGUCGUGGGGUGGAAAGCCUUGUGCGGCUGAGGAUGGGCCCGCGGCCUAUCAGCUUGUUGGUGGGGUGAUGGCCUACCAAGGCGACGACGGGUAGCCGGCCUGAGAGGGCGACCGGCCACACUGGGACUGAGACACGGCCCAGACUCCUACGGGAGGCAGCAGUGGGGAAUCUUGCGCAAUGGGCGAAAGCCUGACGCAGCGACGCCGCGUGAGGGAUGACGGCCUGUGUAA
This 394-nucleotide ribosomal RNA is filed under the name uncultured bacterium. RNAcentral describes it as "bacterial SSU rRNA". It matches the Rfam family "Bacterial small subunit ribosomal RNA", at positions 28 to 428 of the family's 1533-position model. The record is from RNAcentral.